Non-coding RNA from Sus scrofa (pig), 2674 nucleotides. Lineage: Eukaryota; Metazoa; Chordata; Mammalia; Artiodactyla; Suidae. The record is from RefSeq and is a predicted model, not a curated record.
CUGCAGGCUGUGAAACAGCUCAGGGCUGUUAACCUAAAGGCAGCUGGGAAAGGCAGAAAGAACAGGAGCCCGCCUGGCCCCCUGUGCUUCAGAACCCACCAGGCAAUAAACUGGAAGACUGAGAUUUUCCAGCCUAAUUGUUCGAGGGAGGAACUGCAGAGGGACCAUCCAAACCUCCAUGGUACAUGGUCCUAAGGAAUCGAUCCUCAAUGCAAACAGGUCAAGAAAGCCCUGGGGAGGAGCCUGAAGGGCCCUGAGAAGAGGGUGGUCAGAGCUGGACAUCUGCGCACACAGCAGGCUGGCUACAAGCCCAGGACAAGGGCCCCAGUGGAGGACCACCUACCACGUAGCUAUGAUUCUAAAACUUACAAAUCAAGCUAACAGACUUAAAUGGGCCCUGUCCCCCUACUUUAUAUAGACUCAGCAGACUGAAAUAUGAGGUUCAGAGGGAAGAGGCUCCAGCCCACACCUUGAGGACCUGUGCACACACAAGAGGACACUGCGGCCUGUUCAGCAAGUGCCAGCUCCACCUCCCUGCCAAGGGCCACCUUUUGAUCACUGUUUGGAGGCAAGACCUGGGAAAGAGGCCUGUCCAGAGACUGGAAGCUGGCUCAGGGCUCCUGCAUUUCUGGAGCCUGGUCUGAAAGAUGGGGUAUGGGCUUUGGGUGACAUGUCCCUUCCCUGCCCCCAGCCCCCAUGACUCCUCCCGCUGUGGGAGGUGUGGGCAGAGGAAGGCUCCAGCAGAGGCUCAAAAUGUGGUCCCUGGACUGGCAGCAUGGGCACCCCCUGGGAGCAGGUUAGAACUGCAGCCUGGCUCCAGACCUGCUAAAUCACGAUUGGCAUUCUAACCAGCCCCCCAGCUGAUUCAUGCCCACUGAGGUUUGAAAAGCACGGUUCUAAAGCACAAAACCCAGGCCUAGGGUCCCUCUGGCCCAGGUCUAGGGGUCCUAACAGUGGUUAUUAAUAAAUGUUUGCUCAGUGAAUGCCAAAUGUCACCUCUACCAGCUGGGGUGGCUGCCGGAGUCAUGGUGCUUUCAUCUCCUCUUUCUCUGGGGCCUCAGCGGCCAUGUUUCAGCUCUCGGCCCUGCUGCUGGCCUGAGCUGAUGGGUCCAGCAGGAGUCACCUGACCCACAUUAUGUCAAUCAGAGGAUCUCUCCCAGGAAUUUGAAACUUAGGCCUCAAAUCAAGCUCCCAGAGCAACAGCAAUAGUGGCCUCACUGCCCCUGUUAACGUGUACCAAGCAUGGCACAGAGUGUUUACAGAAAUUGUGAUCUGAUCUUCACAACCACCUCACAAGGCAGGUAUUAGUAUUAUUCUGCUUGAUUUUUAGAUGAGGAGAUGUGCUCGGAUAUUAAGUAAUUAUCCCAAAGGUUUAAGGGGGCAGGGAUGGCACCAGGGGAGCUGAGUGACUGGCCAUGUGGGGUAGAGACAUCAUCAACCUCUGCUACCAGGUCCCCAGGCUUCCAGGCUUCAUGGUGAUUGUAUGCCCUGGGGAGCAAGAUAUCUGGCUUGUGAAGUGCCACAGGGAGGAAGGAGGGAGUGGAGGAGGGAAGGGGGGCAGAAAGAAGGGUGGGAGCCGUGGGAGAGGGAGGCACAGAGAACCUCCAGUCCCCCAGCAAGAGUGGGGCACCCACUGGGACCAGCAGGCCCGCCCCACCUCAGCGCAGGCCAGAGAGCGCCCACUGACGACUCCUUCUUCCUCCAGCAAGUUAGCAGCCAACUUGUCAAAGAAAAGGGGUGGGUAGCUUACUUUGGAGACCAGCGUGGGGGCAGUGGAGAAGCUCCUCACCCCCAGAGGAACGGACACUUAAGAGGCUGAGGGGACAGAGGCAGCGGGGAUGUGCUGAGAUGGCUGAGGGCCUGCAGGGGCCAGAGAUCCCAUUCAGACUGGAGAAGGGAGUUGAGGGCCUCACUGGCUGGAGGCCCAAACAGGUUUCUGACUCCGGCUCUGGGUAGCAUGGGCCGUUCCAGGUGGCAGAGGGGUGGCCUGGGGCACGCAGGCCUCUGACCGCCUAAGAAAUAAAAACCAGUCAGCAGCAGCAGGUUUCUAUCGGAAUCCAAGGCUCAUCAGGGGCAGGGUUGUCUGGCUUUAUUUAUAAAACAAACCAACAUCUUUCAUUGACGCUAACACCGUGGUGGACCCCUGCUGUCACCAGACGUUCAGACAUCACUCAGCGCUGGUGCAGGUCACACCCUCAGCGGGCUCACGGUACAGUGUCACACUCUGGGCAGCACGCUGGCCCAGGGCGGCCACACAGAAAUCCACUUCUCACUGCACAAAUCUCUCUUAAAAAAAUCCAAAGAUCAUCAGGGUAGAGAGGAAUCGUUGGCUGUCCCAGUGAAGAGGGUACCAACGUGGUAACCGAGGCCGGCUCCUUCUGGCCCCUCACAGUGGGGUGGGGACCAGGAUUCCUCAGGACCGUGUGAGCAUUGCCAGGACGCUGCCAACGGCCUCCUUCCCUGUUGAGGAUGGAAGGGAUCCAUCCCAACGCCCACAAGUGGGGGCGAAGCUCUGGGAACCCAGCCUGUCAUCAGCGUCCCCGAGGCCCCCGCAGACUGGGAUGCAAAUAGCUCCGGGCCCACGCGGCUCCCAGUCUGCUGACGAGGGUGGCUCGCUCCUGUUUCUUCUCUCUUACUUUUUUCAGGGAGCAAAUUUCAGAGUAAGAGCUGGCAG